RNAcentral lists this ribosomal RNA (347 nucleotides) under uncultured bacterium. RNAcentral describes it as "partial 16S ribosomal RNA". It matches the Rfam family "Bacterial small subunit ribosomal RNA", at positions 338 to 682 of the family's 1533-position model. The record is from RNAcentral.
CCUACGGGGGGCAGCAGUGAGGAAUAUUGGUCAAUGGACGCAAGUCUGAACCAGCCAUGCCGCGUGCAGGAAGACGGCUCUAUGAGUUGUAAACUGCUUUUGUACGAGGGUAAACGCAGAUACGCGUAUCUGUCUGAAAGGAACGUACGAAUAAGGAUCGGCUAACUCCGUGCCAGCAGCCGCGGUAAGACGGAGGCUUCAUGCGUUCUCCGGCUUUAUUGGGUUUAAAGGGUGCGUAGGCGGUCGGAUAAGGUAGAGGGGAAAUCCCGCGGCUCAACUUCGGAAUUGCCUCUGAUCCUGUUCGGCUUGAGAGUAGUUGCUGUAGGCGGCAUGUCUGGUGUAGCGGU